AGACAGCAAGACUCUGAAGUCAGUCUGCUAGCAGGACAGAGCCUUAUGUGUCAUAAUGUAAUCAUGGAAAUGACAUCCCAUCACCACUGCCAUAAUCUAUGAGAAGCAAGUCACAGGUCCUGCCUGAACUCAAGAGGAAGGGAUUAUAAGACUGUGAACACCCAGAGGAGGACCAUGGAGUUACCCAGAAGUCCGUCAACCACAAAGGCAAUUAAGGUCUCUACCAGAUCAUAGUGAAUGCCUGAGGCCUGAAAAACGUCAACCACGCUGCGUCAACCAUGAAGACAUUUCACAUCACUAAUAGCAUUUCUCCAUCUGAUUAAGGAAUAAACCAAACAAAAUUACAGCACAAAAGAGAGAUGACACUGGUAACCAAACCAAAUUCCAAAAAAUGAAAACUACCAAGAGAAUGCUGAGGAUGAAGUAUAAAGUAUGAUCCCUGUCAACUGCCACCGUGCAACAUUUUGACGUUUCGGAAAACAGUGCCAAAGGGACUCGGGUGGCUCAGUCAGUUGAGCAUUCGACUUCAGCUCGCGGUUCGUGAUCUCACG
Long non-coding RNA from Felis catus (domestic cat), 551 nucleotides. RefSeq lists it as uncharacterized. The transcript is spliced from 3 exons. The record is from RefSeq and is a predicted model, not a curated record. NCBI's taxonomy places the organism in Eukaryota, Metazoa, Chordata, Mammalia, Carnivora, Felidae.